AUUGAACGCUGGCGGCAUGCCUUACACAUGCAAGUCGAACGGCAGCACGGGUGCUUGCACCUGGUGGCGAGUGGCGAACGGGUGAGUAAUACAUCGGAACAUGUCCUGUAGUGGGGGAUAGCCCGGCGAAAGCCGGAUUAAUACCGCAUACGAUCUACGGAUGAAAGCGGGGGACCUUCGGGCCUCGCGCUAUAGGGUUGGCCGAUGGCUGAUUAGCUAGUUGGUGGGGUAAAGGCCUACCAAGGCGACGAUCAGUAGCUGGUCUGAGAGGACGACCAGCCACACUGGGACUGAGACACGGCCCAGACUUCUACGGGAGGCAGCAGUGGGGAAUUUUGGACAAUGGGCGAAAGCCUGAUCCAGCAAUGCCGCGUGUGUGAAGAAGGCCUUCGGGUUGUAAAGCACUUUUGUCCGGAAAGAAAUCCUUGGCCCUAAUACGGUCGGGGGAUGACGGUACCGGAAGAAUAAGCACCGGCUAACUACGUG
Molecule: ribosomal RNA, 486 nt
Filed under: uncultured bacterium
Lineage: Bacteria
Description: partial 16S ribosomal RNA
Rfam family: Bacterial small subunit ribosomal RNA
Source: RNAcentral